GGUAGUCCGCACGAGCGCACCCUCGCCCUUAGUUGCCAUCAUUGAGUUGGGCACUCUAGGGGGACUGCCGGUGAUAAGCCGAGAGGAAGGUGGGGAUGACGUCAAGUCCUCAUGGCCCUUACGGGCUGGGCUACACACGUGCUACAAUGGCGGUGACAGUGGGCAGCGAACCCGCAAGGGGGAGCUAAUCUCCAAAAGCCGUCUCAGUUCGGAUUGUUCUCUGCAACUCGAGAGCAUGAAGUUGGAAUCGCUAGUAAUCGCGUAACAGCAUGACGCGGUGAAUACGUUCCCGGGCCUU
RNAcentral lists this ribosomal RNA (298 nucleotides) under uncultured bacterium. RNAcentral describes it as "partial 16S ribosomal RNA". It matches the Rfam family "Bacterial small subunit ribosomal RNA", at positions 1078 to 1382 of the family's 1533-position model. The record is from RNAcentral.